UACGGAGGGUGCAAGCAUUAAUCGGAUUUAUUGGGCGUAAAGGGCGCGUAGGCGGGAAGAUAAGUCAGAUGUGAAAGCCCAGGGCUCAACCUUGGAAUUGCAUUUGAAACUGUUUUUCUAGAGGGUAGGCGGAGAAAACAGAAUUCCACAUGUAGCGGUGAAAUGCGUAGAUAUGUGGAGGAAUACCGGUGGCGAAGGCGGUUUUCUAGCUUAUUCCUGACGCUAAUGCGCGAAAGCAAGGGGAGCAAACAGG
Molecule: ribosomal RNA, 253 nt
Filed under: uncultured bacterium
Lineage: Bacteria
Description: partial 16S ribosomal RNA
Rfam family: Bacterial small subunit ribosomal RNA
Source: RNAcentral